Molecule: unclassified non-coding RNA, 213 nt
Filed under: Hevea brasiliensis (rubber tree)
Lineage: Eukaryota; Viridiplantae; Streptophyta; Magnoliopsida; Malpighiales; Euphorbiaceae
Source: RNAcentral
GGGACCAGCAGUGCGAGGCCAUGCUUGGAAUUUCUUGUCUGUUUCUUUCCACCAGUCGGUGUUGGUAACGGUGCUUGGAGUAGUACCUCCAAACAAUUUCCCGUCAGAAAUAACAGUGUCACAAACAUAUGCAACGACAAAAGAUCCAGCGAUAGAACCAAUUAUGUACUUGGUAGCCAUCUUGGAGCUCCUAAAACGUGAUAAAGAGCAGAG